CCUACGGGGGGCAGCAGUGAGGAAUAUUGGUCAAUGGACGAGAGUCUGAACCAGCCAAGUAGCGUGAAGGAUGACUGCCCUAUGGGUUGUAAACUGCUUUUAUACAGGAAUAAAACGACUUACGUGUGCCUCUUUGCAUGUACUUUAUGAAUAAGGAUCGGCUAAUUCCGUGCCAGCAGCCGCGGUAAUACGGAGGAUCCGAGCGUUAUCCGGAUUUAUUGGGUUUAAAGGGAGCGUAGAUGGGUUGUUAAGUCAGUUGUGAAAGUUUGCGGCUCAACCGGAAAAUUGCAAUUGAUACUGGCAGUCUAGAGUACAGUUGAGGUAGGCGGAAUGCGUGGGGUAGCGGUGAAAUGCUUAGAUAUCACGAAGAACCCCGAUUGCGAAGGCAGCUUACUAAACUGUGACUGACAUUGAUGCUCGAAAGUGUGGGUAUCAAACAGGAUUAGAUACCCUUGUAGUC
This 460-nucleotide ribosomal RNA is filed under the name uncultured bacterium. RNAcentral describes it as "partial 16S ribosomal RNA". It matches the Rfam family "Bacterial small subunit ribosomal RNA", at positions 338 to 795 of the family's 1533-position model. The record is from RNAcentral.